GUUGACUAUAUGGGACCUUGCACUGGAAAGAGACGAAGAAGAGGAGGCGGAGUUUAAAGAAAAGAUGAAAGAACAAGCAAAUGUGCCUGAAGAUUUGCCGCCACAGCUCCUUUUCGUUCAUCAGGGUCAAAAGAAUCUCAAGGAGCUGCACUGGCAUCCCCAGAUCCCUGGGAUGCUCAUUUCCACUGCUGAAGACAGUUUCAAUGUCCUCAUGCCGGCAAAUGUCGAAAUGACUCUCCCUCCAGCAGGUCCGAGUGCUGUCUAGUUACUAGACGGAGAAAUCCAAGUUUAGUAUAAGUUUUCGAACCUCUGUUACUUUCUCUCUUUGGCCUAUUUAAUUGUGUAAAA
This 348-nucleotide unclassified non-coding RNA is filed under the name Hevea brasiliensis (rubber tree). The record is from RNAcentral. Lineage: Eukaryota; Viridiplantae; Streptophyta; Magnoliopsida; Malpighiales; Euphorbiaceae.